Molecule: long non-coding RNA, 1639 nt
Filed under: Orbicella faveolata
Lineage: Eukaryota; Metazoa; Cnidaria; Anthozoa; Scleractinia; Merulinidae
Description: uncharacterized LOC110042893
Source: RNAcentral
UUCACAUAUUCUUAAUAUGAAGAGAAGUUCCCUUCAUAUAAGAAGUUUCAGGUGUAUACACUUCUCCGUCUUUAGAUAUAGAUGGACCAAAAAUGGCUUCAUGGGUCCGUAAAGUUUCUGGGGCUUUCGAGAAACGGGCCCCUGGCCCUUAAUGACACUCCCUUUGAAUUGUUGAUGUUAUCCCUCUAAUCAAACAUGUAUGACAAAUCUCUUAAUGCAGGUCCAGUUUUAGCCCUACAUUAUAUAAAUACAUAUAUUAUUAUUAUAUGGCUAGCUCCCUGAGCAGGCCAGUGGCACUAUCUUGCCUUUCAGGGUUACAUGGCGCGAUGUCUGACAAGAAAAAAUUGUUCUUUAUCCCAUAUAAUAAUUCCUAUAUUGACCAAGCUUGUUCGGUCAAGAUGGCUAAAUAUUGGCCUUGUUCUUUGUUUGCAUGCUAUGGACCUUGACUAUGUUUUGGUCCAUAACCAUGCAAAAAAAAGAACUUGGUCAAUAUCCAGCCAUCUUGACCUCAUGCUUCGUUAGAAACCCAUAAUUUUAUGUAAUUGGACUGAGUGGAGCACAGUUUAGGGUGUAAUUGUUUGAGUACAGGUAAUUUCAAAUUGACCGAGUGUGCAGGACAAUGCUGCGAUUACUUAUAAUUCCAACAAUAACAAAUUUCAAGAUUAAAAGAGUCUUUAAUUCUAGUUACAGGAUCUUAUAUGAGUCCUAUUUUACCUCCCCAGCAUACAUUGUACAUAUCCUGCAUUCAGUAGACAUUAAGAUUAUUGGAACCUUUCAAGUAGUUGUCGUUAUCUGCAUACUAUUUAUAAACAAAGUUUGCCUUAUCCUGUUGUUCUACUGUUCAUCUUAGGACUGCAGCCUUUUGUGUCAUAUUUGCAGUUUUUCCAGUGCUUACCAGGAUUGAAUGCUUUUAAAGUCUUUCCUCUUUCUUACCAGAUUGAGAUCAGAGAAGCAACAAUAAAGUUUAUACAGUGAAACUUAUAUGGAAAGAAAUUCACUUUGAGGCAUUAGAUCCCAUAAUAGGGAAACAACAAUGAAAGUAUAUGCUGAGACUUGAGAGGGGAAAAAAUCACGUUGGAAAAAAUCACGUUGAAACAGUGGAUUCUGUGAUAGAAACCAGAAGGCUGUGUGCUGAGGCUUAUGUGGAAAAAGAUUCAUACUGAGGUAAUAGAUUCCACAUCAGAUGCCUAACAGAAGCAAGGAAAGGGCUAUGUGUCAAGACUUAAGAGGAGAAAGAAUCAAACAGAGACACUGGGUUCCAUAGUAGAUACAAAACAGAGAAGGAACUAUAAAAGCUGUGCUGUCUUAAGAGGAAAACGAAUCAAAGUGAGACAUUGGAUCCUUUGUUAGGUGCGUCACAAUUUUCUUUUAAAAGGAAGAGUUUUUAAUCACUUGAUGGUGCAUGUACUAGGAAUAAUUGUACACAUUGCAAGGAAAUAAUUUAAACGAAUGGCGAAGUUAUUGUUUCAAUUUGAGUGGACAAAGAUAGGGAUCUUAUCCAUGGAUGUAAAAAAGCUCUGAACUGCCUUGUAUGCUACACGAGAGUAAAGCAUGUUUUCUGUAAGUACGCUUGAAAUAACUUUCUUGGUUACAAAUGUCAGUCUCAUCAUAUGCUAAAACUUUCACAAUGGGAGAGAAA